This is a non-coding RNA of Chelonoidis abingdonii (Abingdon island giant tortoise), 189 nucleotides long. The record is from RefSeq and is a predicted model, not a curated record. NCBI's taxonomy places the organism in Eukaryota, Metazoa, Chordata, Testudines, Testudinidae.
UCAGAACUCCAUUCCAAAAGACGAAAUGCCAAAGCAUUUGAAAAAAUCUCCAAGGCUAUGGUAGACAGAGGCCGCAACAGAGACUCAACACAGUGCUCCAUGACAAGCAUAACAGAAAGCCAAUGAAUCAAAUGGAUGCUCACAGAGGAGGGAGGGAGGGGGGGGACUGAGGACUCUAGCUAUCCACAG